CAGUAGCCGCGGUAAUACGAGGGGGGCAAGCGUUGUUCGGAAUUAUUGGGCGUAAAGGGAGCGUAGGCGGUUUUGUAAGUCGUGUGUGAAAUCUUCGGGCUCAACCCGAAGCCUGCACACGAAACUGCAGGGCUUGAGUAUGGGAGAGGUGAGUGGAAUUCCUGGUGUAGCGGUGAAAUGCGUAGAUAUCAGGAGGAACACCUGUGGCGAAAGCGGCUCACUGGACCAUUACUGACGCUGAGGCUCGAAAGCUAGGGGAGCAAACAGGAUUAGAGACCCCUGUAGUCCCUGUCUCUUAUAC
Molecule: ribosomal RNA, 301 nt
Filed under: uncultured bacterium
Lineage: Bacteria
Description: partial 16S ribosomal RNA
Rfam family: Bacterial small subunit ribosomal RNA
Source: RNAcentral